Triticum urartu is the source of this 2455-nucleotide long non-coding RNA. RefSeq lists it as uncharacterized. The record is from RefSeq and is a predicted model, not a curated record. Lineage: Eukaryota; Viridiplantae; Streptophyta; Magnoliopsida; Poales; Poaceae.
GUGUGUCCACCGUUGCACCAUCCACCUCGGCACGAUCCACUCCCAACCCACCUCUCUCUCUCUCUCAUCCCUAAAAAACUCUCUCACGAACUCACCUGCUCCUCUCCCACGAUCUCCUCGCCGCCGCCACCACCCACGCCGGUUACGCGCAACACUCCCCAUGGAAGCCACCGCCACCGCCUCCCUCGCGUGGACCCUCACCUCCUCGCCGCUCCCCCGCGGCUCCCGCCGUAGCCGUGGCGCCGGAGCGGCGGAGGAGGGGUAGGGCAGUGCUCGCCGCGGCGGCCUCGACGGGCAACUACGUGGUCCGCCAGAGAAAUUGCGCAGGCGGCAACGAAGCCCUGCGCAGGGGCGGCUAAUUAAGGGGUCGCCGGGAGCCCGUGAACCGCCGCGAGGGAUGCGAGAUCCCAGCGGGAGCCGGCGGAGGAGGGCCCGCCGGACUCGCCAAGGAGACGCGGCCUACCUCCUCGAUGCGGGGAAUCACCUCGAGGUAAGAAGCAAAUAGCACAUGCAGGAGGUAAGAAGCAAACGAAUGUGUGUGCUCUUUCCUUCUUACCCUCGAGCCGACUCCCGGAACCACAUCGAGUUGGAUUUCCAAUUGCACGCACCUACCUACAAAGGUUUGUUUGUUCGCUUGGCGGAGCUAGGGGGGGACCAGCAGGGGCCCUGGCCCCCCCUAUGGCAUUGUAUAAUACGAAUGAUUUUGUACUUAAGGCUAGUUUAGACAUGAUGUUUAGACAAAAUUAGCUUUCUUGGCCCCCUCUAAGUGAGAAUCACCAUGUUCGGCCCCGUUCCUCCGCCCCUGUUUGUUCGGGUCGAUUGUAUUACGAGUUCUCCAUUGCUGUGUUCUCAGAUCUGACCCCUGCUAUGAGAAUGAACAGGGACACAAAUGAUGAUUUUGUAGAGCGUGGUAGCCGAUUAAUUGUCCCAAAAUCAAAGUAGAUAUGCCACGCCGUAUUAGACUAUUUCUAUUUUUCUGCAUUUUUUGGAGGUGUCCGGAAGAUAGAAUGUAACUGCAGAAUUCAACUACCGCAUUUUGGCGAACACCUAUUCGGUAGUUCAGAUGAACCAAGAUUAGAUCACUCACACCGGUUUUACAGGUUUUUCUUUUGUUCACUGUAUUUAAUAAAAUUGGCGACAAUGGAAGGCCUCUCGUGCAUAGAUUAUCUGAAACCAUUUCAAUGUAUGGCCGACUGUGGAAUCUUUCUCUCAUCCUAUGGUCAACUCUUGGGUUCUCACAGCCUCAUUUGCCUUACUAGCUGGAAAUGAUUAGCCUGAUGUAGUUUGUCCCCUCGGUUAUUUCACUCUGUUAAAAGAAUGUGCCUUUGUCAGGCCACUCUAGUUUAUACUGUUGUUGCUGAGGCAUACCCAAUUCUUGAUUAGCAAGCUAACUUUGUCUUAAUCAGCAUGGUCAUCAACGAAUAGAUGAGCUAUCAGUUAGUAGCGGUAAUACGAGAAAAAUAAGGAACCGACAGAAAGGAUAGGAAGUAGCUAUCUGAAUUAGAAACCUGAUACAGUAGAAGAUAAUGUGUUUUGUUCAUCGGAGGUUAGUUUAUAUCUACGUGUUUUGUUCCCCUAUCUUCAAAUGUUAUGUAGUCACUCAGUUAGCAGUUUCUUAACUGUUGUAGUAAAUAAUUAAUUUCCAUAAUUGCUUCAUUUGCUCUUCUGCAGAAGCCCAGUUAUACACUUUACGCGAUGAAAUUCACAGCAAUACAGUUCAUCAACCUAUUUAUUGUGCCAUCUUGGAAUAAUGUUCGUGGAGUAGCUUAUCUCGUCAAGGCAACUCCUUAUCUUAAAAGACUCCGGCUAGAAGUUCAGUGAGUUUGGAACCGAUGGAGGACAACAGCAAAGUCUCUGAAGCCGAAGUUCAACCUCUUUGGAACCGAUGGAGGACAACACAUUGAUAUCAAGUCUUUCAUUGCCUUUACCGUGUUUCUUAAAGCCUUUGGUGGUCUCCUUUUCAUCAUCAGCAGCUCGUUCGAAGCAUUCGUACCGGUCUCCGCCAGCAUUGGGAAUUUGGGAUGGCAGUGCCACACAUUGAUAUCAAGUCUGUCAUUGCCUUUACCAUGUUUCUUAAAGCCUUUGGUGGUCUCCUUUUCAUCAGCAACAACUCGUUCGGAGCGGUCGUACUGGGCAAUGGAUAAAAUCUACUCUGGAUAGUUGAAGAGGGAGUACAUGCUAAGUUGACUUUUUUUCCCUACGGAUUUGCUUAUCGUGAAGAUGCUUGCAAGGAUGCAAGAGGGAGCGGAUCAUUUGGAGAGAUAGGAUGCCACUGUUUGGUGUUUUUAUGUAUGUUGGUUUGCUUGUAACUGUGUUUGCACUUGCUGGAAGUAAGUGACUUGGCAAGAAGUGUAGGUGUUUUAAUUGAAGGCAUGAAAAGCCAUGACAAUAUGUAUGCUCUUACAGGAUGUGCUCUAAUGCCGUUGGUUUAUUAUAAAUCUUGGAUUAGUAAUGA